This 3259-nucleotide unclassified non-coding RNA is filed under the name Hevea brasiliensis (rubber tree). The record is from RNAcentral. Lineage: Eukaryota; Viridiplantae; Streptophyta; Magnoliopsida; Malpighiales; Euphorbiaceae.
GUUUGACUCCUCUGUACUUCAGUCAUUAGCUAAAGUAGACUCCAGCAGGGUUAGUCCACACUCUAGUUUACUGAAAAAUCUGGCAUUGAGUAGAAAUAUGAAUUCCACUACUUGUAAAACUGUUAAGUCAGAACCUGUAGAAGAAGCCUUGGUACAAGCUAAUGCUAGAACAUUGGAGGCGAAGGUAGGAAAACCUGAAGUUGUGAGGCAGAAUCUGCAGUCUAUUGAGUUGUCAACUAAAGGUCCUCAGGAAUUACUUCAGGAAAAACCAAUGAAAUGUGAACCACUCCAUGAAGUUAGCCAGGAAAUAUCCAUGACAGCAAAUGUGAUUGCUCACCAAUCAGUUGCAAGGGUUUUGCAGCUUCAGGAGAGUUCCUCUUGUUCCUCUUCUUCUUCGACAUUGCCAAUGCCUUUGACCCCUCCACUGGGAUGCCCUUCUAGAUUGUCUACCUGUUCAGAUUUGUCUGUGAGUGGUGGAGACUUGUCUACUCCGUCUGAGUACUCUGCUCAUACUAAUGAAGCUACUAGGAUUAAAAAUGCUCUAGAUCAGGCAAAUGCUGAUAUGGCUGCUCUAAAUGCAAACUUUGAACUCAAAGAAUCAAAUGUAUCCAGUGAUAAAGUAGAGGCAUCUGUUUCAGCGGGCAUGAAUAUUGAAGAUCACAUGGUGCGCAAAAAGAUACAAGACCCACAUAAUGUGUUUGCAAGUGUUGAAGGAUCGGCAAAUGAUGAGGAAAAGAUAAGUAUAUCAGCUGGUACAGAAGAAGAAUGUUAUGGUUCUGAUUAUGAAUCUGAUGGUCAUCAUGCUUUUGCUGGACAUGUUGACUCUGAGAAUGUGGGGUGUGGCAGAGAGGAUGAGGAAUAUGAAGACGGUGAGGUCCGAGAACCAAUGAUGCCGUCGAUUGAAGAAGACCCAAUUGCUGAGGGGAUGGAAUCAGAGAAAAAUAAUGUAUCUUCCAGCAAAAAUGCUCGUUCUUCUGGCAUUGGGGAAUCUCAUUGCUUCAAUAAUGAUGACAAAGGUUACAGUAUACCUGUUCAUACGGAUAAUGAUGACCUUGUGAAAGGCUGUGAUGAAAAAACUGUCCAAAUUGAUCAUAAAGAUGGUAAGUUGCAGAGUCCAUUAUUAGGUAAGGAGGAAACAACAGGAGAUGAUGAGGAGAGGCCAAUUGGCGCUGUUCACCAAGGAUCAGUUGAUCAAUCAGGAAUAGCAGAUGAUCAGGAGAGAUGUGAAAAGGACGUCUUUUGUGACGUAACACCUGUUGGAAGCAGUGGGGCUGGAAGAAAUGCUGGUGAGGCUAAUAACGAGUAUAUUGGAAGAUCUGAUAUGUCAUCGACAGCUGUGUCAUCUUUGCAAAAUGCCGAAACACCUGUUAAUGCUGCCUCUAGUAAAGAUAUGACAAAUUUUGGAAGCAAGAGCCGUAUAAUCAGCUUACCUCGUGCAUCCAAUGUGACACCACCUAGUAAUUUCAGACCUGUUACAGGUAGAUCACUGCCUUCAAGAAGUGGAAGAGAAAGGUAUUCAGAUAUGGAGGAGGAGAAAUUUCAUCUACGAAGGAAUAGGGAAGAAACUUGUGCUGAUGGUCCUAAAUUUGUGCGAGAUAGGAUUCAGGACCGGUCAUUUGGCAGCUCAAGGGGGAACUUCAUGCGGGGAAGAGGGAGGGGCUCAGCCCGAUUUGACAGUUUACGUAGAGAAUGGGAUUCUGGGCGUGAUUUUGAUAGCUAUGGAGGUGUAGCUGAUUAUCGCUUUAGACCUAAACGUAGACCUACUGUCGGGGAAUCUGAAAUUGAACGUAACGAUGGACCGGAUGGUCAUUUUGUUCGGGGCAAUACAAAGUUUACCACAAUGCAGAGAAGAGGUUUCCCUCGAAUGCGGUCUAAAUCUCCUGUUAGAUCUCGUACACGGUCCCCUGGCCCUUGGUCAUCUCCUCGGAGGAGAUUGAAUGAAGGAUAUAAUAAUGGUCCCCCAGAUUCAUCUCAUCACAGGUCACCAGCUAUGUACAGGGAAGAUAGGAUGAGGUCUUCUCCACGGACUUCUUUCACUGAAGAGAUAGUUCUCCGAAGACGUGAUUCCCCCUCAUAUACUACUCGGCGUCUGAAUGAUUUGCGGGACGUGGAUGCUGUACAGGAGCACAGUCAUCCGAGGUCUCUUUCUAGCAGAAGAAGUCCACCUGAUCGGGUAUUUACUAGAAGCAAUAGGAGACUUGAGGUUUUAGAUCGUCGGGAGAGGGCUGAUGGGGAUGAGUACUUUGAUGGGCCGAUACACACUGCUAGAUUUCAUGAUCUUCGUGGUGGUGGAAGUACCGAUGAGAGAAGGAAGUAUGGUGAGAGGCGUGGAGGACCCAUUCGUUCUUUUCGUCCUUCUUAUAACAGUGAAAAUGACAAUUUCCGUUUGCACCCAAGUGGUGGUCCUAGGCCUUUUAGGUUCUAUCAAGAAGCUGAUGCAGAAUUUGUUGAAAGAAGUAAUACUAGAGACAGAGAAUUUGAUGAUACUAUCAAGGAUCGACCUUUACCUAGACGAAUGAGAAACGUCGAAGAGCAAGAAGGUGGUAAUUUUAGACAGAGUGGGCAGCUUUGGCACGACGAGGAAUUUGAUGUCUCCAGAUUGAAGAGAAGAAGAUUUUGACUUGAUAAACCUGAAAUAUCAACAGCUGCACCAUGGGAAACACUGUUUCAGCAUCUGUUUGUUCCCGAAAGUGAAUUGUUGUUCCUUGCUGACGUGUACAGGUGAUAUGCUGCGUGUAACUGAGGAACAGAGACAGACUUUUGAAUGCAUCUUGACAAAUGUUAAAUGUUGAAGAGAAAGAAGGCGACGGUCAAAAUAGGGUUCUUGCCUGAAGAGGGUUGAUGUCUCCUCUAUAAAAAAGAAGCAGUUCUUGACUUGAUAUCUCCACUGAACCUCGAAUCUUUGGGGAGAAUGCACUGAUGCAUGUCUUUAUUUCAGUAAAAAAAGAAGGUUUGUUGCUAGUAGGCCGUCCAAGGAACGUGCUUUUACCAUUGCUUUCUUUUGGAGGAGAAAACUACUAGUUUAAUAUGCUCUACUAUGCUGGCUUGAAUGCUAUUUUUACUAGUUUUAAGUUGCUAAUAUGCAUGCUGGCUUUGUGUAAAGCUUCUGGGUUCAGUGGUUCUAACCAGCUUGUGUUGGCCAGUUAGAGAAACAGGCCAGUGAUGGGAACUUAUCCAAGGUUAAAUUAUGCAGGUUAAGUAUGAUAUUUAACAAUAACACCAUCUGUGACACCUUUAUCAUUGAUGAGAUGGAUGUACA